RNAcentral lists this ribosomal RNA (427 nucleotides) under uncultured bacterium. RNAcentral describes it as "bacterial SSU rRNA". It matches the Rfam family "Bacterial small subunit ribosomal RNA", at positions 355 to 774 of the family's 1533-position model. The record is from RNAcentral.
UGGGGAAUUUUGGACAAUGGGCGCAAGCCUGAUCCAGCCAUGCCGCGUGAGUGAAGAAGGCCUUCGGGUUGUAAAGCUCUUUCGGCCGGGAAGAAAUCGUGUUCUCUAACAUAGGACAUGGAUGACGGUACCGGACUAAGAAGCACCGGCUAACUACGUGCCAGCAGCCGCGGUAAUACGUAGGGUGCGAGCGUUAAUCGGAAUUACUGGGCGUAAAGCGUGCGCAGGCGGUUUUGUAAGACAGAUGUGAAAUCCCCGGGCUUAACCUGGGAACUGCGUCUGUGACUGCAAGGCUGGAGUACGGCAGAGGGGGGUGGAAUUCCACGUGUAGCAGUGGAAUGCGUAGAGAUGUGGAGGAACACCGAUGGCGAAGGCAGCCCCCUGGGCCUGUACUGACGCUCAUGCACGAAAGCGUGGGGAGCAAACA